GUCUUCUAGUAGCUGUGCCAAGAGAAAUCUCAGUCAUUACGAAUCUCGCAGAGACCGUGAUGGAUCACGAGAAGCAACUUUUGGACCCGUCCCCAUCCUCCACCUCGGGGACAGCAGGAGAGACUAUGGCCAUGAAGCCUUCAGUACAAGUCCAAAUAGGUAACCCACCUGACACACUGCAAAUCAAUACAUGGCAUGACUUCACACUAUAAUUAAGGUUUAACAGUAAGCAGUAGCAAAGAAUGCAAAGCCCUCAAACGUUGUGUAAUACCUAUAUUGUCAUAUUAUUAUUUCAGUGAACAGAUAAGAGCAAUUCAACUGUGAUUUAUUGUAUAUCUGCAUAGACUUUUUCUUUUUUGUUUAUGGCCCGAGACAAGUUACUUGUGUGUGUUAACAUGUGUGUACUGACACUUUCGCAUAAAAAAAUGAUUUGGAUAAUGGGCAGCAGCUACAUUUGUCGUGGGGAAGAGAGGGCCAGAGAGACCAUGGGGGCCAAUCUUGGCCUAGCGGCCAAGGUUCACUGGUUUGGCUGGGGUGGACUUCGAUGGCACUCUCUCUUUUCUUCCCCACGACGAAUGUAGCUAGCUUGAGAGGAGAUUGUGGGUCAGCUGCCUUGUUCCCCCUUUCCUGUGUGUUUGUGUCUCCCUUUUCCCCUCUGUGUGUGUCUGUAGCGUUUGUCUCCACCUGGAAGUGGCCUCCACUGGCACAGCUGAUGCACAUUCCAUGAUUCACACACAUACUCCUACGUGAUCCCGCCGUUACCUGCUUCCUACCUGCCGUGCUCUGCCGUGCUGCCUGCCUCAUGCCACUCAGACACAACCACCUGCUUCUCCUGGAUUCUACUCAGAACUUCUUUGGAUCCGCCACUGCCUGGUUCCCUCAAGCUGCAGUCCAUUCCAAGAAGACUACAAGCUCAGCCUUGAUUGUUCAUCUCCUCUGAGUAUUUAUGCCUAAUAAAUACUUGAACUGUUUAUCUGUGUCCUGAUUGGUAUCUCUGUG
Molecule: long non-coding RNA, 999 nt
Organism: Perca flavescens (yellow perch)
Lineage: Eukaryota; Metazoa; Chordata; Actinopteri; Perciformes; Percidae
Exons: 3
Source: RefSeq, a predicted model, not a curated record